RNAcentral lists this ribosomal RNA (432 nucleotides) under uncultured bacterium. RNAcentral's name for it is "partial 16S ribosomal RNA". It matches the Rfam family "Bacterial small subunit ribosomal RNA", at positions 29 to 506 of the family's 1533-position model. The record is from RNAcentral.
AACGAACGCUGGCGGCAAGCCUAACACAUGCAAGUCGAGCGAGGACUUCGGUCCUAGCGGCGGACGGGUGAGUAACGCGUGGGAACGUGCCCUUUGCUUCGGAAUAGCCCUGGGAAACUGGGAGUAAUACCGGAUGAGCCCUUUGGGGGAAAGAUUUAUCGGCGAAGGAUCGGCCCGCGUUGGAUUAGGUAGUUGGUGGGGUAAUGGCCUACCAAGCCGACGAUCCAUAGCUGGUUUGAGAGGAUGAUCAGCCACACUGGGACUGAGACACGGCCCAGACUCCUACGGGAGGCAGCAGUGGGGAAUCUUAGACAAUGGGGGAAACCCUGAUCUAGCCAUGCCGCGUGAGCGAUGAAGGCCUUAGGGUUGUAAAGCUCUUUCAGCUGGGAAGAUAAUGACGGUACCAGCAGAAGAAGCCCCGGCUAACUCCGU